UUAUUGGUCCUGAGGGUAAACGUCCUCCAAGUCUGUAUCCUGAUUGGCGCACAUUUUGUCUGGGCCUUCUCCGCCGGCGGGAGCAUGCCCGGGAUUUCCAAUGUGGCCUUAAAAAUAUCCGAGCCCGCCUAGCUGAGGCGCGCAGGCAGCAGCCGUUGCUGCGACGCCUCUGGUGUACUAAAUCUGGAGGGGAGGUUGGGCCCUCGAAGAGAAGGAGAAGACCCUCAAACCUUGGCUAACGGCGACAUAGCUGGCUUUUUGGAGAGGCCGCCUAACGGUCUGCCACUUCAUUGGAAUCAGCCUCCGCCCUUCUCAACUGGCUGCUGCGGGGCCAGUGGUGCCGGGAGACGAGGGCGGGCGCUCAGGGACGGUUCGAACAGUCUGGGGACUAUUUUCCUGAACUGUAAAAAUUCUCAAACAC
This 421-nucleotide long non-coding RNA is filed under the name Homo sapiens (human). RNAcentral describes it as "non-protein coding lnc-PUS3-1:3". Lineage: Eukaryota; Metazoa; Chordata; Mammalia; Primates; Hominidae. The record is from RNAcentral.